This 23-nucleotide non-coding RNA is filed under the name Arabidopsis thaliana (thale cress). The record is from RNAcentral. Lineage: Eukaryota; Viridiplantae; Streptophyta; Magnoliopsida; Brassicales; Brassicaceae.
AGGAAGGUGCAAUGCUCAUCUCA